This 270-nucleotide ribosomal RNA is filed under the name uncultured bacterium. Its description in RNAcentral is "partial 16S ribosomal RNA". It matches the Rfam family "Bacterial small subunit ribosomal RNA", at positions 333 to 600 of the family's 1533-position model. The record is from RNAcentral.
GAUUGUCUACGGGAGGCAGCAGUGAGGAAUAUUGGUCAAUGGCCGAGAGGCUGAACCAGCCAAGUCGCGUGAGGGAUGACGGCCCUACGGGUUGUAAACCUCUUUUGCCGGGGAGCAAAGAGCGGGACGCGUCCCGCCUCGAGAGUACCCGGAGAAAAAGCAUCGGCUAACUCCGUGCCAGCAGCCGCGGUAAUACGGAGGAUGCGAGCGUUAUCCGGAUUCAUUGGGUUUAAAGGGUGCGCAGGCGGGCCUUUAAGCCGGCGGUGAAAU